This 760-nucleotide ribosomal RNA is filed under the name Virgibacillus halodenitrificans. Its description in RNAcentral is "bacterial SSU rRNA". It matches the Rfam family "Bacterial small subunit ribosomal RNA", at positions 402 to 1154 of the family's 1533-position model. Lineage: Bacteria; Bacillati; Bacillota; Bacilli; Caryophanales; Bacillaceae. The record is from RNAcentral.
UGAGUGAUGAAGGUUUUCGGAUCGUAAAGCUCUGUUGUUAGGGAAGAACAAGUGCCGUUCGAAUAGGGCGGCACCUUGACGGUACCUAACCAGAAAGCCCCGGCUAACUACGUGCCAGCAGCCGCGGUAAUACGUAGGGGGCAAGCGUUGUCCGGAAUUAUUGGGCGUAAAGCGCGCGCAGGCGGUCCUUUAAGUCUGAUGUGAAAGCCCACGGCUCAACCGUGGAGGGUCAUUGGAAACUGGAGGACUUGAGUACAGAAGAGGAGAGUGGAAUUCCACGUGUAGCGGUGAAAUGCGUAGAGAUGUGGAGGAACACCAGUGGCGAAGGCGACUCUCUGGUCUGUAACUGACGCUGAGGCGCGAAAGCGUGGGGAGCGAACAGGAUUAGAUACCCUGGUAGUCCACGCCGUAAACGAUGAGUGCUAGGUGUUAGGGGGUUUCCGCCCCUUAGUGCUGAAGUUAACGCAUUAAGCACUCCGCCUGGGGAGUACGGCCGCAAGGCUGAAACUCAAAAGAAUUGACGGGGGCCCGCACAAGCGGUGGAGCAUGUGGUUUAAUUCGACGCAACGCGAAGAACCUUACCAGGUCUUGACAUCCUCUGCAAUCGGUAGAGAUACCGAGUUCCCUUCGGGGACAGAGUGACAGGUGGUGCAUGGUUGUCGUCAGCUCGUGUCGUGAGAUGUUGGGUUAAGUCCCGCAACGAGCGCAACCCUUGAUCUUAGUUGCCAGCAUUUAGUUGGGCACUCUAAGGUGACUGCCG